GAUCAUAUCAAACGAACCAUUACAACGUCAUGUACAAGCUAUUCCCUUUUCCUCACGAUAUUUGGUCUAGCUCCAAGUUGACCUCUUUUUCUCGAUGUUGUGAGUCCGAUCCCUGAAUAGAUUAACAUUUAACCUAGCACGGCCAUGCAUUUCUUGAUCUGAUCACCCGAGGGGCCCAGAGAUAUCUCUCACAUAGAGAAGGGCAAAUCACAUCUUGACUGACUAU
RNAcentral lists this long non-coding RNA (226 nucleotides) under Oryza brachyantha (malo sina). Its description in RNAcentral is "long non-coding RNA (OBRA_LNC002641)". The record is from RNAcentral. Lineage: Eukaryota; Viridiplantae; Streptophyta; Magnoliopsida; Poales; Poaceae.